AAAGAAACCAACCGGGAUUGCCUCAGUAACGGCGAGUGAAGCGGCAAGAGCUCAAAUUUGAAAUCUGGCCCCCUCGGGGUCCGAGUUGUAAUUUGCAGAGGAUGCUUCGGGUGCGGCCCCCGUCUAAGUGCCCUGGAACGGGCCGUCAUAGAGGGUGAGAAUCCCGUCUGGGACGGGGUGUCCGCGUCCGUGUGAAGCUCCUUCGACGAGUCGAGUUGUUUGGGAAUGCAGCUCUAAAUGGGUGGUAAAUUUCAUCUAAAGCUAAAUACUGGCCGGAGACCGAUAGCGCACAAGUAGAGUGAUCGAAAGAUGAAAAGCACUUUGAAAAGAGAGUUAAAAAGCACGUGAAAUUGUUGAAAGGGAAGCGCUUGCGACCAGACUCGCCCGCGGGGUUCAGCCGGCAUUCGUGCCGGUGUACUUCCCCGUGGGCGGGCCAGCGUCGGUUUGGGCGGCCGGUCAAAGGCCCCCGGAAUGUAGUGCCCCUACGGGGGCACCUUAUAGCCGGGGGUGCAAUGCGGCCAGCCUGGACCGAGGAACGCGCUUCGGCACGGACGCUGGCAUAAUGGUUGCAAACGAC
Molecule: ribosomal RNA, 577 nt
Filed under: Aspergillus ochraceus
Lineage: Eukaryota; Fungi; Ascomycota; Eurotiomycetes; Eurotiales; Aspergillaceae
Also listed under: 1 other name
Description: eukaryotic LSU rRNA
Rfam family: Eukaryotic large subunit ribosomal RNA
Source: RNAcentral